CGGCCUACCAAAGCUACGAUAGGUAGCCGACCUGAGAGGGUGACCGGCCACAUUGGGACUGAGAUACGGCCCAGACUCCUACGGGAGGCAGCAGCUGAGAAUCUUCCACAAUGGACGAAAGUCUGAUGGAGCGACAUCGCGUGAGGGAUGAAGGCCUUCGGGUUGUAAACCUCGGAAAUUAUCGAAGAAUGAGUGACAGUAGAUAAUGUAAGCCUCGGCUAACUACGUGCCAGCAGCCGCGGUAAUACGUAGGAGGCAAACGUUGCUCGGAUUUACUGGGCGUAAAGGGUGAGUAGGCGGACUUAUAAGUCUAAGGU
RNAcentral lists this ribosomal RNA (317 nucleotides) under Brachyspira intermedia. Its description in RNAcentral is "bacterial SSU rRNA". It matches the Rfam family "Bacterial small subunit ribosomal RNA", at positions 261 to 595 of the family's 1533-position model. The record is from RNAcentral. Lineage: Bacteria; Pseudomonadati; Spirochaetota; Spirochaetia; Brachyspirales; Brachyspiraceae.